GUUGUCCGGAAUCACUGGGCGUAAAGGGCGCGUAGGCGGCUCAUGAAGGCUGUGGUGAAAGUCCGGGGCUCAACCUCGGAUCGGCCGUGGCGACUCGUGGGCUGGAGCACUGUAGAGGCGGGUGGAAUUCCGGGUGUAGCGGUGGAAUGCGUAGAGAUCCGGAAGAACACCAGUGGCGAAGGCGGCCCGCUGGGCAGUGGCUGACGCUGAAGCGCGACAGCGUGGGGAGCAAACAGG
This 237-nucleotide ribosomal RNA is filed under the name uncultured bacterium. RNAcentral's name for it is "partial 16S ribosomal RNA". It matches the Rfam family "Bacterial small subunit ribosomal RNA", at positions 540 to 776 of the family's 1533-position model. The record is from RNAcentral.